This 476-nucleotide ribosomal RNA is filed under the name uncultured bacterium. RNAcentral's name for it is "bacterial SSU rRNA". It matches the Rfam family "Bacterial small subunit ribosomal RNA", at positions 28 to 507 of the family's 1533-position model. The record is from RNAcentral.
GAUGAACGCUGGCGGCGUGCCUAACACAUGCAAGUCGAACGAAGCACUUCGAUUUCUUCGGAAUGAAAAAGUGACUGAGUGGCGGACGGGUGAGUAACGCGUGAGCAACCUGCCUUACAGAGGGGGACAACAGCUGGAAACGGCUGCUAAUACCGCAUAAUGUAUUUUUGGGACAUCCCGAAGGUACCAAAGGAGCAAUCCGCUGUAAGAUGGGCUCGCGUCCGAUUAGAUAGUUGGUGGGGUAAAGGCCUACCAAGUCGACGAUCGGUAGCCGGACUGAGAGGUUGAACGGCCACAUUGGGACUGAGACACGGCCCAAACUCCUACGGGAGGCAGCAGUGGGGAAUAUUGGGCAAUGGGGGAAACCCUGACCCAGCAACGCCGCGUGAAGGAAGAAGGCUUUCGGGUUGUAAACUUCUUUUGUCAGGGACGAAUAAAUGACGGUACCUGACGAAUAAGCCACGGCUAACUACGUG